GGAUGUUAGCCAUGGAGGAACUUAUCAAGACCUUCACUGAGCCGGACACGGUGAUCCAUGAGAACUUCAGGUUGUUCCUGAGCUCCAUGCCCACCAAGGUGUUCCUGUCACCGUCCUCCAGAACUCUGUCAAGGUGACCAACGAGCCUCCUAAGGGUCUACGUGCCAACGUGCGCCGGGCGUUCACUGAGAUCACCAACAACUUCUUUGAGGAGCACAUCCUGGGACGCCAGUGGAGGAAGAUCAUCUUUGGAGUCUGCUUCUUCCACGCC
Oncorhynchus keta (chum salmon) is the source of this 271-nucleotide long non-coding RNA. RefSeq lists it as uncharacterized. The record is from RefSeq and is a predicted model, not a curated record. NCBI's taxonomy places the organism in Eukaryota, Metazoa, Chordata, Actinopteri, Salmoniformes, Salmonidae. The transcript has 3 exons.